Molecule: long non-coding RNA, 311 nt
Organism: Lolium rigidum
Lineage: Eukaryota; Viridiplantae; Streptophyta; Magnoliopsida; Poales; Poaceae
Exons: 2
Source: RefSeq, a predicted model, not a curated record
GGCGACCGGCGGCGGGGAAAGGCGACGGCGGCGUGGACUGAACGAGCGAACCAGAACGGCGACGACGAGAUCCUGCUCCGGCGAUUGGUCCCCUGUUGAUCUUGAUGAAAACAUUUGGAAGGAUAUGAACAACGAAUGACCCACCAACUGCUUUUAGAACUGGCAUUUGAGAGCAGCAUAAUUUAUUUAUUUUUGCCACCGAAUAGAAUAUUCCAUGAGAUCGAAUUGAUGAUCCGUUUUUUUUUGUAUUACCAUGCAACGUUUCAUAAACAUUCUUGUAUAUUUAUUGCAAAUAUAUGAUUUUUAUUUGA